RNAcentral lists this long non-coding RNA (552 nucleotides) under Coffea arabica (coffee). RNAcentral's name for it is "long non-coding RNA (CARA_LNC004081)". The record is from RNAcentral. Lineage: Eukaryota; Viridiplantae; Streptophyta; Magnoliopsida; Gentianales; Rubiaceae.
AAGGUAAGUUGUUUUAACUUGUUUAGCAUGAAAAGUUCGAUUUUGGUUCAAAACGACUUUGUUAAAACCAAUGAUUUUACCAAUUCAACCCAAGAUUGCUAGUAGAGUGUGUCAGUAUUGAUAUAUUUUUGUUGUUUUUUGGGUUCGUAUAUAUGUAGGCUGAAAAGAUGACUACUGAUCCAGUGAAAAAGGAGAUGGCUGAGCGGAAGAAAGAGGAAAAGUUGUUUGAAGCAGAGUGUGAGAAGGAACGGAUGCGCCAAGCUGCCAGGAGAGGCGACCACAACCUCCACACGGCGGGUGAUCCGCUCGGCCACGCUGGGCCGGUUAGGGAGGAUUAUCCAACUAGCGUGACUAGUGGAGUUGUUGGGUCGCAGUAUCCUGCAGGAGUGAACAAAAGAAGUGGAAGGACCGGUGUUCUUGAUCCUGACCGGGUGGAGGAUGUGGGCAGACCGGGAGUUCAAGACCCCGGGGUUGGCGGAGGAGCUAGGACUGGUUAUGGACCUGGUGCUACAUAUUAGCUAGCCUGAGUGUUUAGGACGCAUGUUUUAGUUU